RNAcentral lists this ribosomal RNA (492 nucleotides) under uncultured bacterium. RNAcentral's name for it is "partial 16S ribosomal RNA". It matches the Rfam family "Bacterial small subunit ribosomal RNA", at positions 29 to 507 of the family's 1533-position model. The record is from RNAcentral.
AGUGAACGCUGGCGGUAGGCCUAACACGUGCAAGUCGAACGGCGGCACAGUAAGAGCUUGCUCUUACGGGUGGCGAGUGGCGGACGGGUGAGGAAUACAUCGGAAUCUACUUUUUCGUGGGGGAUAACGUAGGGAAACUUACGCUAAUACCGCAUACGACCUACGGGUGAAAGCAGGGGAUCUUCGGACCUUGCGCGAUUGAAUGAGCCGAUGUCGGAUUAGCUAGUUGGCGGGGUAAAGGCCCACCAAGGCGACGAGCCGUAGCUGGUCUGAGAGGAUGAUCAGCCACACUGGAACUGAGACACGGUCCAGACUCCUACGGGAGGCAGCAGUGGGGAAUAUUGGACAAUGGGCGCAAGCCUGAUCCAGCCAUACCGCGUGGGUGAAGAAGGCCUUCGGGUUGUAAAGCCCUUUUGUUGGGAAAGAAAAGCAGCAGGUUAAUACCCCGCUGUUCUGACGGUACCCAAAGAAUAAGCACCGGCUAACUUCGUG